This 33660-nucleotide long non-coding RNA is filed under the name Olea europaea (common olive). RNAcentral's name for it is "long non-coding RNA (OEUR_LNC002175)". The record is from RNAcentral. Lineage: Eukaryota; Viridiplantae; Streptophyta; Magnoliopsida; Lamiales; Oleaceae.
CUGUAUGAUUUGUAUGCAAAUUCAGUUUGCAGAAGUAAUAUCUAGCUGACAGCCCACUAACUCAAGCUUUAGGUUUGAGUAUCUUGGCUGUCUCCCACGUGAAAUCGGUAUCCUCACGGCCAAAGUGUCCAUAGGCAGCAGUCUUUUGGUAUCUGAAGUUCCCUCCUCUUUUCAGAUCAAGGUUGAUGGCAAUCAUUCCAGGCCUAAAGUCAAAGUUCUCUUUUAUAAGGGCUAGUAUGUCCUUGUCCGAUAUCUUACCCGUCUUGUAGGUAUCAACAAACACUGAAAGUGGCUCUGCUACACCAAUAGCAUAUGAAACUUGCACUAUGCAUCGACGAGCAAGUCCAGAAGCCACUACACUCUUAGCUGCCUGCCUAACAAUGUAUGCACCACUCCUGUCCACCUUGGUAGGAUCCUUGCCCGAGAAAGCACCUCCACCAUGAGCACCCCAGCCACCAUAGGUAUCAAUGAUAAUUUUCCUACCAGUGAGUCCAGCAUCUCCAUGCGGCCCACCAAUAACAAAUCGACCUGACGGGUUGAGGUGGAAGAUUGUUCUGUCAUCAAGGUACUGAGCAGGAAUCACAGGCUUGAUCACAUGUUCUUUCAAAUCCUUGGCUAUCUGAUCAUUUGUAACAGUUUCAUCAUGCUGGGUUGAGAUGAGAACGGUGUGAACUCUGAUAGGAACCAUGGCACCACCAUCAUUCUUGUACUCGACAGUAACUUGGGUCUUACCAUCAGGUCUCAGCCAUGGGCAAGUCUUGUUCUUUCUCACUUCUGUGAGCUUCGCCCCAAGCUUGGUGGCAAGAACAUGAGUGAGUGGCAUGAGCUCCGGAGUUUCAUCUGUGGCAUAGCCAAACAUGUGGCCUUGGUCACCAGCUCCAAUUUCUUCCGGUUUCUUUGUGAGAUGACCAUGAACCCCCUGAGCAAUGUCUGGGCUCUGUUGCUCAAUAUUAACAAGGACCUUGCAUUUGUCAGCAUCAAGGCCAACAUCAGCUGACGUGAACCCAAUACCUCUGCAGGUAUCCCGAACUAUCUUCUCAUAGUUUAUGUUGGCUUUGGUCGUGAUCUCCCCAAAGACCAUGACCAUAUUAGUCUUUGUGCAUGUUUCACACGCAACUUUGCUAUCUGGAUCUUGAGCUAGACAAGCAUCAAGAAUGGCAUCUGAGACUUGGUCACAAAGCUUGUCAGGGUGGCCUUCAUUGACAGACUCCGAGGUGAAGAGGAAGGUAUCCAUUUACAGUCUAAGCAGAAUACAGAGAGACAUAGGUUAUGCUAAACAUUCAAACAAUUUAAAAUGUUGCAAAGUAGAAAUCUUCCUCGUGUCAGUUUUUUGAUAAAUUGCUAAUAAUUUUAUGCACUUAUAUCUUAAAAACAAUCGACCCAUCUGAUUUUAACAUAAAGCUUUAACAAAGACGACUAUAAAAACUAAGGUCUAACUCCAUCUUAUAGGGUAGUUUUCCUUACCUAAAGCCAACAAGAUUUUAUUAGAUUUUUUCUUAAUCUACAAUAAAAUAAGCAAAAAUUAAUCUCAGACAUUCCCUGGUAAAAUACUCAUGCGAACACGGUUCUCUUUGUAAGGUUGAUUCAUUGCUCUGCUCAAAUCAAUUAGAAAACAGGAAAAAAAUGUUUUGAGGUGUUCAAAAUCGCAGCAUGAUACCGUGAUAUAGAUUCAUUCUUAACUUUAAUUUUUGAUCGUAGUAAUUCCAUUUCACAUAAAUACUGGAACAAAACAAGAAUUCCCCAUGUGCUAUGGUAAAAUUUUACCACAACAAGAAAGGGUGGUUCAGGAACAAACUCCAAUUUUUCCAUGUUGGACAAAAAGGAUUUGUAUCUUCUUCACCAAAUUUAUGGUCUCACAAUAUUACCCUCCAUUGCAAAGGACAUUAUACAAAUCAUGAAAUCAUCUGCUGAUCACUAGAGCAAAUUUGCAAAGGUGUUGAAGUACAGAUCCACCACAGAAUCAUACUGGUAUAUUUUCAGUUGCUAGCCUAUAUUUUCACAUUAUCAUAGUAUUAGUAUAUAGUAUUAACUCUCGAAUAAAAAUUUAGUAUCUUCGAAUCCAGAACCUUUUCAAAAAUACUAAUAUGAAUUCUGACUUUAAACACGGAAUGAGAUCUGCAUAUAAUGGAGCGAAAAUAUGAAAUCCUAUACGUCGAGAUCCAAAAUCAAACCGCAUUUCUUCAAUACUACAAAUUGAAUACUUUGUAAGCAUAAAUAGUGAAUAAAUUAAAUACAAAAAAUAAUCCCAGAAAAAACCAAUUCAUAGACACUCAAUUUUACACAAAUAGAGGAAUUCAUAAUCACGACGAUGAAUGUAACACAUUUCUGGACAAAAACUCAAAUGGAUCUGAUAAUAAAUGAAAGUACUCUCACCAGAUCUUGAAUCUAUGAUCCAAACUAGAGAAUGCGUACCUUUGUAUCACAAACUCUACACCAGAGUAUGAAGAAAUGCCGUGUGGUUUGAGGGAACAGAAGUAAGAUACAGGUAAUACAUAUAUAGGCGGAUAUGGGGCUUGCGGUACGGGCGACUCGGUUGCAACUCCACUCCACCCCAGCAAACAACAACGACCCCUGUGGCUACCAAAUUUUUUACCUACUUCGGUGGGUCCCAAAUUACGAAGUUGAGUCUCUAUAAUGAUGACAAGUGGCAAGAUAAACGAUGGAGAAUGGUUGGUUUUGGUUUUUCUUCUGGCUGUCAGAUUUUGUUCAAAGUUGAAGUUUUUGUCUUUUUGAUGUUAACGUGUGCCCCGUGCUCCAAAUAAUGAAUUUUUUAAACUUGCUAAUAAUGUACAAUUUACACGUUUGUGGAAUAGAUAGCCUUGCACUAUUUAGCUUCACUCUACCAUAAUCUUCUAUGCUAUUGUUGAGGAUCGAUUAACAAACAAAAUCAUACAAAAUAAAAGAAUUUUCGAUAUUCAUUUAGGAUCGAUUAACAAAUAAAACUUUUUCAUAACGAAAAGAGUGGAUCCCGAAAUUCUGACCCCCUUCCGAUAAAAUUAAAUUGUGGACUAGCUCUACUUCUUGCUUGAGUUUUUUUAUAUAGAGACAACAACAUUAUAUGGAAACCAUAAUGUUUUAUCAAAUUUUACUGAAAAUUUGAUUUUUACCUAAAUUAAACAAGGGCUAACUUAUUAUUGGAAAAAUUGCAGCAAAUGUUCCAAACCAUUCAAAAAAAUGUGUGCAUUGGAAAGACCUCAAAAGGUUUUCAUCAAAAGGCACAUUUGUUGAUCAAAGUUAGUGUUUAAACACAAAUUGCCCAACUUCAAAAAGGGCAAAAUGGUCUUUUAAAUUUUUAAAUAAUUACAAAAGGAAAUUUUGCAUCAAAAGUCCCGAACCUUUCAAAAUGUGCCAUGAAGGUUCCAAACCUUUAGUAAAUGUGAGUUGGAAUUGCAUCUAAUAAUUUUCAUCCAAAAAUUUGCCAGUUGACAAAACUAUUUAUCUUCCCAGACCCACAUAAACCUGUCGCCUAAUCCCCAACUCACCCAACCCCACCCAUUGGUAGGUGGGAAAGCCUCCACCAUUUAAGAAUGGCAAUCCCCCUCCCCCCCCUCCCCCCCAAAAAACCCGAUACUCGCGAGGACCCUUCUCAAACAGGACGAGAAUUACUCACUUAAUAGGGUUUCGAAUAGGGAACGGAGCGGGGGACUUUACCCUUGGGCAGGUAUGAGUAACAAGGGCCCUACCCACAUUUUUUUUUGAAGAAUUCAAUACUUUAAAUAGAAAAUUUUACGAAAUUUCAUUAAUUCUAAUAGAAGAUGGUAAUUAAGGUUAUCUAAAGAAUAUGACAAAAUAUAGAAGUCUUAGCUUACCAAACUUUUUUGAAUAAUUUAACUUCUAAAAAAAAUUAAUUAAAAAAUAUAUUAUUAUCCGACUUUUAUGAAUGUGGACAAUAAAAUGAAUUGUCAAAAUAAAUAAAUAAACUAGUAGUAAACGGGGAAAGGCCCCACACUUCCCACUUUAAACGGAUAGCAUGGUAGGUACGAGGCGUGGCACGGGGAAGGUUCCUCGACCCUGACCCACGCUAUUGCCAUCUCUACCAAUGUCGUUACUUUUAAUUUUGAAGAGAAUUUAUCUAUCAUUAUUCAUUUCUUCUCAGUUUUUUCAAAGAUUCUUGUUAGUAAGAAAUGAAGUUGACGAGAUUGGAAAAAUGGGGUUGACGGAGGUGAAAGAAAUGAGGCAGCAACAAUGACUCGGGCAAUUCCGUCAAGAUGGUCAUUGCAGAGCUCGAGUUUCAUGAUUCGAGUUGCCAUCUCCAUUCAUUUAUAACAAAUGAGUGAUAUUUCGCUAGUAAAGCAAGUCCUAGCGCAUUCAUGACAAUGAUUUUGUGUAGUAUAUGAGUACAUCAUUUUCAAUGCACAUGGCUAGAAAGUUUUGCAAUAUACCAUCCGACUUUGAACGAUAACUAAUGCCUUUAAUCUUACAAACUCUUUUAUAGAAAACAUAUUAAUUAUAUAAGUUUCAAAUUCAUAGUCACCGAUCAUCAACUUUUUCCAAAUGAAUUCAACGAGUGAAAACUUAAAACACUUUGACAAAGAUUCAAAUUAUAGAAAUCAAGUCUUUAAAUUGAAAACAAAAAACAAAUAGCAAUAGGACAUGAACCACUAUGUCAAUGAGCAAUUGUUGGAGCUAUUCUAAACAAUUGUCAUGAAUAAGUGUAAUUUUUAAUCUCUCUCAAUACAAUUAAAUUGAUAUCUUCGUAUAUUUCAUUAACCAACUUACGUUUUGCCCCUCCAUUUUUUGGUGUGAUUGCACCGGUAACUAAACUUUAGUUCUGUGUGUUUUGGUUCCUAAAUCCAAUAGAAUGUUCAGCCCGUCAUUAUAUUCUCAGUUCAGCUCUUUAAUUUUCAAACUUUACACUUUAGUACCCAAAUUCCACUAUUCAUCCAAUUCUCAUCCUACACUUCAAUUUCUAUGCCUAAACUUCCAACAUCUUCAAUAUUGGUCCCUAAAACUUAAUAAUCAUUCGGAAUUGGUCCACCUGAAGUUACAUAAGUUUUUAAUUUAUUCCCCAAGCUUUUCAAAAGUUAAAUUUUACCCCUCGAAACAUAUAAUUUUCUUCUGAUAGCUCUCUUUUUACUUAUAAUCACUCAAGUGCCAUCUAAUUAAUCUGCUAUUGCUCCGAAUCAAUUUCAAUAAACUCCAAAAAGCUCUUUUUCACAUCAAUUGCCUCCAAUUUAGCAAUAAAUAUAUAAAAAUAGAAACACGGAUAAGUGCAUAAUCUAAAACUAACUUGAUGACUUGAGUUAGGUUAUGGAGUCGUGAGACCGUCAACCAGAUUCUUGCUAGCUUGACAACGUUUUUUGCCUAGCUUUCAAACUUUUUAAUGUUCUUAUGUUUUAAUAUUCCUCGACACUUGAGACAUGAAUAUUUGUCCAAGUCUAAAGUUUUCGAGUGUCUAAUAAAUUAUACUUCGUUUAACAUUGUGUUCUUCGCCCUUUUACAUAAAACAAACUCAUGGAACAUCAUCUUCCUCAUAUCCAUCUGCAAAAAUCCCAUAAACCAAGAAUCUUGCUCGAAUUUCAAUGUCAACUCCUCUCUACAGCAAAGAUGGAAUCUACACAUCCCCAAGACCACCAAUCUCUUUACCACAAGACCCAGAAAUCUCUAUGGUUCCAUUCCUCUUUAGAAAUUUUUCGUCCAUUGCUCAAACUACUGCACUUAUUGAUUCCGAAACUGGCCAAAUCUUAACAUUUUCAAACCUCAAAAAACAAGUUUCUAAGCUCUCUACUGCACUUCUCAAUCUUAAAAUCUCCAAAAACUACGUAGUUUUCAUCUUCUCCCAGAAUUCAAUCCUUUUCCCUAUAUCUUUCCUAGCCGUGGUGGGCAUUGGUGCUAUUGCCACCACUGCCAACCCACAGUAUACUACGGGCGAGGUCACAAAACAGGCCGAGGACUCAAACCCAAAACUUAUCAUCACAACUCAUGAACUCUAUCAUAAAAUCAUGCAUUUGAAUCUACCUUGUAUUAUUCUAAGUCCCAAAACUUCAGUUCAUAUUACAGCCAAUCCAAACAUUCAAAUAUGGUAUCUCUCAGAUUUGAUUGAAUCAUUGAAUUCAUCUGAAUUGCUACCAUUUCCAUCAGUUUUACAAACUGAUGUUGCAGCCCUAUUGUAUUCAUCUGGGACUACUGGAACUAGCAAAGGAGUGGUCAUAACACACAGGAAUUUCAUUGCCACAUCUCUAAUGGUAACAUCGGAUCAAGAGGUUUAUUGCGAUCCAAAGAACGUGUUCUUGUGUUUUCUUCCUUUGUAUCAUAUUUUUUGUUUGGCCGUAGUAUUAUAUGCGCAGCUGCAGCGAGGGAACGCAGUGGUGGUGAUGGCAAAAUAUGAGAUGGAGAAGAUGUUAAUGGCUAUUGAAAAGUACAAGGUUGCACAUAUGUUUGUGGCGCCACCAGUAGUUAUAGAAUUGGCAAAGCGGCCAGAGGUGGUGAAGAAAUAUGAUGUUUCGUCCUUAAAGGAGAUUGGAUCGGGGGCUGCACCACUGGGAAAGGAAGUGAUGGAAGAUUGUGACAAAAAAUUUUCAGAAGCUGUAAUUUAUCAGGUUAGUAGAAGAUUAGUAGAAAAUUUUAGCUUAUUUUUCUUUCUACCUACUGUUUAGCACAGUCUAGUCCACGUUACCAAAAUGAAUUUUUUGAUUUGGACAUAUUUUGAUGCGAAGUGAAAAAAGCUUCGGUAAAAAGUUUAAAUUCAUUUUCACCAGUUUAUGAUGCUAAAAAAGCAGUAUUUUUAUUUUAAGAAUGAAAAGAGUAACAUAUAUAUGACUAGUACUAGAAGUAGUAGUAGAAAUAAGUUCACCAAAGUCAUCUUAUGGAUGGAGUUCUUGGAACCAACCAAAGCCAUCCCUAUGCUAGCUAUACGCUCUCCCUUUAAGCAAACAAAGGUGUGCGCAAGACAGAAAUUAAAGCAAGAGCCAGACCAAUCCACCAAUCAAAUCAGCGGAAAAAAAAUGCAUUUUGACAUGAUUGAAAGCACCAAGUCAAAAAGAAAAGGAGCAAGUACGGCUUUCAAACUUGUCUCCCCAUUGCCUUAAGCCUGGAUACCCAAGGUCGUGGCAGCUUGAAUUCUCUUCAUCACAAAGGAGUGGAGUGUAUAUCCUCUUACGCAAGAUAGUUUGUAAGAAGUUCCCUAAUGUACUUAUGCCACAAGGCCAAACUUUUCACGAACUAAUUGAUUUGAAGUAGUCGUACAGCAGAACAUCUUAAAACUCCAUUUUUGAAGUUAAAACGUUUUCACUUGGAAACAACUUUUGCCAACAAGUUGGUUCUGCACGUGUUAAUAAUCUUGAAAACAUUGAAUUCUCUAUUAUGGAACCUAAAACUAAUGUGGUCCGGGCGCUGCGCGUGGCAGGGCUACGGCAUGACAGAAACUUGUGGGAUAAUUUCAAUAGAGAACACAAAGAUUGGUUCUUGCCAUUCUGGUUACCGGGGUGCUUGUUCCUGGAGUUGAUCUCAAAUAAUAGGUAUAAAUUCCAUGAAAUCUCUCCCACUUUCCACAAAGGGGAAAUUUGGGUCCGUGGCCAAAAUAUGAUGCAAGGUAAAUUUCACAUUGUGCUUUAACUACGACUGAUUUAAGUAUGUAUACAUAUCAUUUGUCAUGUUUAUUGUUUUAUAGGUUAUCUCAAAAAUCCGAAGGCCACAACGGAAACUAUUGAUGAACAAGGUUGGUUACAUACUGGAGAUCUUGGCUAUUUUGAUGACGAGGGGCGACUAUAUGUUGUCGAUCGAUUGAAAGAGCUUAUCAAGUGUAAAUGCUAUCAGGUAAUAUGAUAUAGACUUUAAAUUUAAAUUUAAAUUUUGUCACACAUUACAUGACAAACUAAAUAAAACAAAUUUCUAGACAAAAUUUGGUAACACAAAUUCUAGAAAUGAGCUCAAUAAAUUGUUGUACCUAAAGUACCAAAUCCCAAACCCCAGCAGCAAGGCACGAAAAUCUGCAACUAAAACUGCAAAACCCUCUCCCUUCUUCUUCUCCCCCUCGAAAUAUUGUCUUUGUACUUUCUUUCAUCCCAAACAAUUGAAAAUUUAGAUUUUUAAGGAGGGUUUGUGGGAAGGCUUGGAAAAUUAGAGAGAGGGAUGGCAGAUGCAUAUCGAUUGAACUACGUGAAAUUUAGGCGGAUCAAUUGGACUACUGGUCGAGUGAAUUAAGUGGGUUUAAUUUGGGUUCCCAUGACCAAUUUGUGUAACAUGGGGGAAAAAACCGUGCUACAUUGUCAGAAACUUUUGUCAACUUCUACAUCGAAUCAGACCCUGCCAACAAAUCAUCUGCCAUGGAAUCUAGCAACAUUUUUAGGUAAAAUGGCUUAACCUUAUUUUAUUUAAAAGAAAAAAGAUAAAAGGGAUUUCUGGAUCCCAUAGAGUUCAGGCCUGAGGCGACCACCUCACCCACCUCGUCUUAGGUCGAACUGUGGUACAAGAGCAAUAAUCAUGCUAGAAUAAGUCCUCAUUUGACCCCUAUUAAAUUAAAUUUCGUUUUUUCUCAUAUUUUCAAUCACACAAUUUUCCAUGAAAUAAUAUUACACAUAAAUCGAAUUUUUUUUUCUCUUUUUAAACUACUUGUUUCACGCGGGUAGUCGCUAAGAAAUUGAAAUUACAUAUUCUCUGUUUGAGAGUGUUUGAUUCGAGGUUCUUUGCUCUAUGUCUUCUCUUCCUUUUAUAUUCCCUUGAUGAUUUCUUUGUGAUCAACCGCUUAGAAACUGCUUGAUUGUUUUAUAACUACCCACUUCCUUUAUGGUGGCUAUGGUGUCGUGGAACUGCCGUCUCUAACUACUGUCACUACUCUUUGUCGUUCAACCAUUUUCAACUGAACUCCUUGAAUCAUGGAACGUGAUAAGGUUACUUGAUAACUGCUUCAAUAACUGCACUUCUGGAUAACCAUAAGAUCUUAUGUUUGCUAAGAUCCUGGGCAAUUCGAAGGUUUGGGCGAGAACAGGGUCAUAGCUCUGGGCGACUGUAAGGCACUUCAUUCGCUCAGAUUUUGGGCGUCUUGCAAGCUUGGGCGAUGAUGUUACCGUAUUCGUGGGCUUCCACUGCAUUCAUUAGUAACCCUAUUUGGGCCUUUAUCCUGAAUUUUCCAGUUGGGCUUCAUUCUUUGGACUAUUUGAUUUGAGGAUUCCCUAAUUGGAUUUCAUUCCUUAGGCUAUUCGAUUUGGGCUGCACUUUUAGUGUGUCAACAAUUACCCCCCAAUAUGGCAGAAUUAAUACUAACUAUUAAUCUUUGCCAUAUUUACUUUGUGUUUCCCAACAACAUUUGAAAUUCCCAAGAAUUUCAAUCAUUAUUUCCUUCCAUAGUCUGAAAAAGUGCGACGCUACAAACCCUUAUAAACCCCAAGGACACGCCAUUUCGUUGUACCACUAAAUCAUGCCUCAUUAUUUCGCGCUUCUUUCUCGCAAUACCAUUGUUCAUCUUCUUGCUUCUCUGCUACGUUUCUUAAGCAAACUCUAACAAAACUGUAUUUCGUCCGUAAUGGCUACUCCACAAACUCAAUCUGACGACUCUUUUAGCUUUGAAGAUUUCCAGAAAAUCCUCACUCGACCAUAUGUAAACCCGAACUUCCUUGCAUUAGCCAAUGCAGAACUUAAUGAGUUCUAUUUGGGACCUUCAUUCAACAACGCCGAAGCCGUCGAACAAGUGGCGGUAGGCCAGCUGUUCCCUUGUACUCAAGGCCCUCCAUUCCUGAACUCUUUGCCUCUGAGGCCGAUUUGCGAAAAAGGUAUUCGCACUUGGCCUAAAUCUGAUGUUGUUUUCUAUAGAUGGCAUGCUCGCCUUGUGGGCCAUGGUCCUAUCAAGGCGAUUUUUGAUCAUGCUAGGAUUUUUGAUUUAUUAGAAAUCUCUCUUCAACCCCCAAUUUUUGACCCAGCACUUUUCCCCUAUUUCUUUAAGUUUUUGGUCUUCUGAAUAUAAUACUUUUGUUUUUCAUCUCGGUCCCAUGUCAAUUACUUUAAGGGAUGUUGGGGCCCUGAUAAAUCUUCCACCUUUGGGCGACACCAAUUUUCUUGAUAUUUUGAUUUCCGGCGUUGCCCCAAAAUUUGACAAAAAAACUCACUAAGUCCUAUUCAAGCCUGCAAAGCUAUUAUAAUCACUCAAAUGCUGAGCCUUCCCACGCUGAGCAUGUGACCUUUCUUCAGAUUUGGCUUUGUAAAUAUAUUCUGUGUGUGCCCAGUUUGAAGCCUUCUAUGAGCUAUUUACCUAUAGUGCACGAAUUGGCGCGUGGUAGGCCUUUGAAUUUGUGCUCCUUCUUUUUGGCUGCCCUCUAUAGAGGCAUGGCUUCUCUUCAAUUUUAAUUGAAGAAUGGUGCAUCUCCCACCGGCAAUGGGCCUCUUUGGUUCACUCAAUUGUGGUUGAAAACCUAUUUUCCAUCACUUGGUGCUCUAUCCAUGUCCCUUCGUUCUGCUAGCUGUUAUGGGCUAGCCAUUGACCCAUUGAGUCCUGUAAAUAUAUCGAGAAUGAACAUUUUUUCAUUCUUUUAUACUUUAAAUUCAAUUCCUUCCUUCUUUCCCUUUUCUGCUCAUUUAACUCCAGAUUAUGUGCAACCUCCAUCCACCUUGAACAGUGCGAGCGCCUCUCUGCUCGUUUGAAUUCAGUUUUUGAUUGGAGGGAGUUGUUCCAUGAUAUUUUAACUGGAACCAAUGCCAAAGUUGGGGUUGAAAUAUAUGCUCCCCAAUUUUUUGCUCGCCAACUUGACUUUGGCCAAACUUGGCAUGUUCCCCCUUGUUAUUCAAAAAUUUAAUAGACCACUUUCACACAUUAAUAGGGCAGAGGCACAAGCUAUAGAUGCUCGCAAUAUGCUUUUGACGAGUAACUUUUCAUUAGCCCCCUUCAAUCCUAGUCGUGCCGUUCACCCCCUUUUUGAACAACUCUAGCCAUUAGUGAAGCCCAGAUUGUUUGCAACUGAUGCCAAUCGUGCUUUCCAUUCACUGGAUCAGCCAAACAUUCUUUCCACUUCUCCUAUUUUGGUCACCCCUGUGUCCAUUAGGAGUCCUUCCUCCCCUGCUCAUGCUAAACAAUCUGUUCCUCCCUCUACUUCUUUGCCUGCCAAACCUACUGCAGCUAAGAGCGCCCCAAUCCGCAAACGGCCAGCUUCAGCAUCUCCCAUUUUGGAGGAUGAUGAUGAUGAUAACACUCUUCUCAUCGUCAGGCGAAAGGUAAUUGAAUUGAAUUCUGUUUACUCAUAAGCAAACGUUUCUAUGUGCUAAUAGUUUUUUCUGAAUUUCUCAGAAAAGUUCAGCCUCUCAUUUGAAGGCUUUGGUGUUGGCAGCUCCUGUUCCAUCAUCCUCUGCUGGAGCUGUUUCGUCCAAACCAGCUGAUGAAGGGACUACGCUUAAAGAGAAACCUUCAGUCCCGGAACCUUCAUCACAACUAAUGGAUGAGCCACCUCCUUCCCAGGGCGUCGACCUCCCGAACAUCGAACCAGAAGGUAAUACAUUUUUUGAUGUUUUACCUUUGUUUGUGCUAUUGAUUUCUGAUUUGCUGCUUCUUUAAUCAUGCAGAGGCUCCCAUUGGUCUGCCCGUUGUGGCAGAAUCUUCUUGCCCAGACAAGGGGAAGUCUCUACAAGUGGUGAGGCCACAGGUGAUAGAGCCAACUAGUGAUAUGCCACCUCCCAAGAUUGUUGAUGAGGUAACCUUUUACAUCACUUUUAUUUUCACUUUGUUUAUUGUAGUGAAAACCUUCAAUAAUGGCAUUUUUCUUUACAGGAUGCUGAUGAGAUUGUGCGUUCUAUUCAGGACUUGUUCGCUUCCUGGGGGCAAGUCAAGACGUCUCGCCCUGCUUCAACCGGUCGUCCUUCUGCUUCUUCAGAGGAAGAUAUGAAGUUCCUCAAACAGUCGAUAUUUGAGUAUGUAUCCUUUAUGGACAUGGACAUCGGUCAGGCUAGUGCUGCCAAACAUAAGGAUAAACUCGAGCAUUUGUGUGCGAAGUUGGCGAAAGCACUGACACUUCCGUCGCUCAACAUUUCUGCUGAUUUUAAAGCGACGUUGAAAGUUGUCCACUCUGACAUCCUCUCUUUGCUGGCCAAAAAUAUUGAACUGAAGGCCAAGAGUACUCAAUAUCUUCACGCUGCAUCUGAGAGAGAGUCUUUGCUUCGGGAGAUCAACAAAGCUGAGGACGAAUUAAAAGAAAUCUCUUCCGAAGUUAUGAUUAAAGACUCUUUGAUGACCAGUUUGGCUACACAGAUGAAGGAGCUUCAAGAAAGGAUGGAUGACUGCAAGGCGAGAAUAGCUGCUAGAAAGCGUAAUGCUUCCCAAGGAAUUGAGGGAACCAAGUCUUUGGUCGAGCAAUACAAGAAACUGGAGGUUGAUGAUGAUUUUGUAGCUGAAUUGAAUGUCACUUCUUCUCAGCAGAGCGAGGAUUGGGGAAGACUUAGGGAAAGAAUUCGUUCGGUCUGGGGCGAAUUGUAAUUAAGACAUCUAAUGCCUUAACUUUUCUUUUUGUAAUUUCGUAUUAACUUUCCUCUUGUAACCUCGUACUGAUAGCUAUUGCCAAUUUUGGAUGUAACAGCAGCCAUUGUAAUUAACGAACAACUAAUUUGUCUUCUUGUGUAUUUAUUGACGUUUGUCCUUAAUCGUCAACCUCCCAAACAUUUAACUGCUUUACGAUAAGAUUCAUGUACAUUCUCUUUUGGUAUUUCUAUCUCUUUUUCCAAGACUUUGGGACGUUUGACUCCAAUCACUAGGCACGAAUGUGACUGUUCAUAUUCUGUCUCUUCACCUUCACGCCCCCAUAAAUGCACGUAUAUGUCGCACUUUUCAUUUUCAUUUCCAUUCUUUUCUUCAAAACUAAUUUGCUGCCAUCGUUUGGCAUCUCAACGAUCGAUCUAAAAUUUUCGUCUUCCAUAGAAAUGGAUCAUUUGAUCCGCCCAUUUUGCCACCUGUUUUGAUGUCAUCUUUGGUAUAGGAGAUAUAGAAAAUAUUCUUUGGCCAGCAAAGUUCUUCCCAUCGUCUCCAUGUUCUUUACAAGGAGUUCAAUGAUGGAAGACAAUUUUUUAGGAUGCCUGUCAAGCCACCUUGCUUGCUGAGAGUGCUUCUUAGUCUCCUUGCCCGUUAUUGCAGCGAUGUAUUUAGGUAGGCGAGGUGAGGGUGCUUCUCUUCCCUUCUGCUUGCUGAGAGUGCUUCUCAGCUUCUUUGCUUGCCUUUGCAGCAGUGUGAUCAGGAUGGCAAUCAAGGCCAGUUCGCCCUCUUACUUGGCGAUCGACCGGGGGAGAUUAGUUCGCUCUUAAUUGUAGCUUAUAGAGCAUUUAGUAUUUUGUAUCUUGCAACUUUGUAAUGAACGUUUGAUAAUAAAGGAAUUUAUUUGAACGUAUUUCGCUCUGGCCUUUUUUUAUCUACGAUCGUUCAACGCGAUUUGAUUACACUUUUAUUUGUUCACUUUCCCAUAAGGAAGGAACAUAUUUUUUUAAAUAUUUGCCAUUAAUGAACCUCAUGUGCUUGGUGCCAUCUAAAUCUUUCAAAUGAUAGGCUCCAUUAGGUAACACACUAUUUACUUUGUAUGGUCCUUUCCAAUUGGGCGACCACUUGCCAUACUUUGGAUCUUUGCUAUCUAAAGGGAGUAUUGUUUUCCAAACCAAUUUGCCCAGGCUGAACGACUUGGCUAUAACUUUUUUAUUAUAAAACUUAGCCAUCCUUCGUUUUUGAAUUUGAAAUCUAUCUAGAAUGUCCAACUUUAAUUCGUCCAACUCCAAUAAGUUUUGAACUAGUGAUUUGGUAUACUCAUCAUUACUUAACUUAUGUUGCAAACGCACUCUGAUCGAUUGCACGUUGAUCUCCAUAGGCAAAACGACCUCCUGUCCAUAAGUAAGUUGGAAAGGAGUAAUUUUGGUACUUGACCGAGGCGACGUCCUAUAAGCCCAUAAGGCCUUGUUUAGACAUUCGUGCCAAUUUCUGACAUUUUCAUCUAUCAUUUUUCUUAUGAUAUUUUUUAAAACCUUAUUAGAAGAUUCUACUUGUCUGUUGGAUUGAGCAUAAUAUGGUGUGGAGUUUACUAAUUUAACUCCAAACUCGCUCAAGAAUUUAUUCACUUGAUCUCCAUUUAAAGAAGUUCUGUGAUCUACCAUCAAAGUUUGUGAAAUUCCAAAUCUACAAAUAAUAUGAUCACGGAUAAAUUCUAUGACAUUCUUUUGGGUGAUCUCGUUUAAAGGUAUCGCUUCUACCCACUUAGUGAAAUAAUCAGUUGCAACUAUAACAAAGGUAUGCUGCUUGGACGAUGGGGGAUAAAUCUUCCCUAUUAGGUCUAUCGCCCAACCCUUAAACGGCCAAGGUUUGAUAAUAGGUACCAUCUCUCGUGCUGGUGCCUUUUGUAUUGGACCAUACUUUUGGCAUGCUAGACAACUCUUUGCAUACUGAACGCAUGAUUCUCCCAUCUUGAGCAAAAAAUAUUCAUUCGUAAUGAUUAACCAUCUCAUCCUUUGGCCAGCUUGAUGAGCCUCACAUAUCCCUUCUUGCACUUCAUCCGUGAUCGUCCUGGCUUCUUGCAAACUUACACAUUUUAGCAAUAUACCAUCAGAGCGUUUCUUAAACAACUCUUCAUCUAUCAGUGUAUAGUUUAGCAAACACAACUUCAUUUUUUUACUAUUUCCUUUAUUAGGUUCUUUAAGGAACCUUUUAAUCUCUGCCCUCCAAUCUAUUGCAUCUCCAUCUUGUAUGCAAUGAAUUUCAAUCGUUCUAGCCCUUUUUUGGACUACGGGCAAUAUUGUUCCAUACUCAUAGUAGACUUCCAAUUUAAAACUUUCGAGUACCCUGAGACCAUUUGGGCUAACUCAUUUGCCACGUCAUUAUAUAUCCUAUUAACGCAUUGAAACUCUAUUUGGUCGAAUUCUUCCAACAACUCUUGUGCGAUUUCAUAUAGACUUAUAAUGGAAUCAUUUUGGCACUUAAAAUCACCAAUCAAUUGGUGAAUGACCAACUGAGAAUUGCCUCUAACGAUCACAUUCUUUACUUCCAUAUCUAUUAUUAAUUCUAAACUCACGAUUAAGGCUUCAUAUUUGGCUUGAUUGUUGGUGCACAUCCUAUCCAAGGUGAAUGCGAACUUGUAGCAAAUUCCUAAAUGAUUUAUCAAUGCUACUCCUAUUCCUGCACCUUUUGAGAUUUUUGACCCAUCGAAAUAGAAAACCCAAGAUUUUAAUUCGAAUGAAUUGAUUUCUAAUUCAAUUUUUUUAGGCAUGUCAAGGCAUGGAUGAUCGGCCUGAAAGUUAGCCAAAGCCUGAUUUUUGAUUGCCUUUUGGGGUAUGUAUUGUAUUUCGAAUUCUGAUAAUACUAACGUCCAAAGGCCUACCCUUUGGUAUAAAAUAGGGCGAGAAAACAUAUACUUAACCAAAUUUACUUUGGAAAUCAAAUAAACGGUUACGGGCCGUAAAUAAGCCCUUAAUUUUGUACAUGUGAAAUACAAUGUAAGACAUAAUUUUUCAAUGGCAGAGUAAUUACAUUCACAUUUUGUUAACCGUCUACUCAAAUAGUAAAUCGCCCUUUCUUCACCAAAUUGGUCUUCUUGCACGACCAUUCCAGCAAUUGAUUCUUUUUCAAUCAAUACAUACACUUUCAUUGGCCGUCCUUGGGAUUGGUGACACCAACACUGGUGGACUUGAUAAAUAUGUCUUUAGGCUUUCGAAAGCCUUUUGAUGCUUUUCUUUCCAAAAAAAUUCGUCCUGAUUUUUCAACUUUAAAAGCUGCGAAAAAGCUUUAGUUCGCCCUGCACAGUUAGAAAUAAAGCGUCUUAAAAAGUUUACUUGGCCUAGAAACCUUUGCAAUUCUUUUUUGUUGUUAGGUGGUUUGACCUCUAAAAUGGCCUUCGCUUUAUUUUUAUCAAGUUCAAUCCCCCUUUUGUGUACUAAGAAACCAAGAAAGUUUCCUGCAUUAACAUCAAAUGCAUAUUUCAAGGGAUUCAAUUUUAGUUUAUAUUGUUUCAUUCGCUCAAAUGAACAUCUCAAUUGUUCAAAAUGGUCCUCUUCUUUAAUGGAUUUGACCACUAUAUCAUCUACAUACACCUCAACAAACUUGCCUAUCAUAUCAUGAAAAAUCAGGUUCAUCGCCAUUUGAUAAGUUGCUCCUACAUUUUUCAGGCCGAAAGGCAUAACUACCCAUUUAAAACAUCCUAGAGACCCAGGGUAUCUAAAGGCAGUUUUGUGUAUAUCUUCCUCAGCUAUAUAAAUUUGAUUGUAUCCUGAAUACCCAUCCAUGAAGGAAUACAUUACGUGUCCGACAGUUGAGUCUACUAGAGAGUCUACUGUGGGUAUUGGAUAUUCAUCUUUGGGUGUGGCUAUGUUUAAAUUCCUAAAGUCUAUGCACACCCUUAAUUUACCAUUCUUUUUUAACACUGGCAUGAUAUUGGACAACCAAUUCACAUAUCUGGCUGUUCUAAUAAAGCAUGCUUUUAAUAAUCGCUCUAUUUCUUUCUUAAUCUCAGAAAGUAUAUUAGGAGCAAAACGCCUAGGAGGUUGCUUAUGAGACUUAAAAUUUAGCUUGGUUGGCAACCUAUGUUCCACCAAAUCUCUAUCUAAACCAGGCAUAUGUUCAUAUUCCCAAACAAAACAAUCUUUAUAUUCCUUUAAUAAAGCGAUUAAUUUAUCACUAACCUCUUGAUCGAGCAUUUGGCUGAUGAAUAUUGGGCGAUCUUCUCCUUCAUUGCCAAUAUUCACUUUAAUCAGAGGGUCUUGUGCUUGAGCGUAUCCAGGCUUGGCAAUCCUCAUCACUUCAUCAUCCAAUUCCCUUGUAGGCACUUCUUCUUCUAAACAAUCCACUUUGUUGACUUCUCGGCCAAUACUUUGUUUCAACUCGAACACUGCCAAUUUGCCUCUCAAUGCUUUCAAGACUGCUUCUUCUUUCGUCUUGUCCUUGCAUUCUUUAUUGAAAACCAUUAAUUUGACUUUGAAGGCUUGAAUAUCGGUCAUUUGCCUUUGUUACUUACAACUCAUUUAAAACUCCUUGAUUACUCUUUUGCCAAUUACUGGCUCUUCUAGUGCCACUAUGUUUGGCCUCAUCUGAUUGAACAUUUCAGUGAGUGCUUCCACUGAAAACGGCUCUUCAGUCUGUGUGACAAUUUGAGUUUCUUCUCCAUCUUGGACUACUCUGACAGGUCCAUAAUUUCUUUCAUACAUGAACCUUUCUACUGAGUUUGCUUCUGCAACAAAAGGUCUAUGAUCGACCUGCAUCACUUCUGCUUCGCCUUUGUCAUUCCAAAAAAUCAGACAUUGAUGGAGCGAUGAGGGUAUACAGCGACUUCCGUGUAUCCAAUCUCUUCCUAAUAACACAUUGUAACUAGUAGGACAAUCUAUUACGAAGAAGACUGUGGUCCUAGUAGUUGUCCCUAUAGUUAUGUCCAAUGGCAUAACCCCUUUAGCUGAAGUUGCUCCUCCAUUGAAACUCGUAAGGACAACUUCUGUUGGGAUCAUAUCGCUUUCUGUCUUUGCAAAUUUCCUCAUCAUCCUAGAUGGAAUGGUGUUUAUAGCUGCUCCAUUGUCGACAAGCACUUUUGUCACAGGUAUGCCAUUAACUAGAGUUUUAACGUACAGUGACCUCAAGUGUUUAGUUAACUCCAUGGCUGGCUGCUUAAAAAUAACCUUUUCGGUAGCAUCUAUUUCUACUUCCUGCUUGUCCUCUGUUAAGUCAUCCUUUUGUGAUAAGUUAACGUGCAGCAUGUCGUACUGAGCUUCCAUUUCCUGCAUUUUCUUUUUAUUGUUUUCUAAUGCUUCUUCUUCAGUUACCCAACCUGUGGGAGGGGGCAUUAUUUUUGGAGGUGAUCCAUACUUUUCAGAGCAAGGCACUGUCUUUUUCCUUUUGGGCGUCCCGCACAGCACGUAAUAAUCGAAAGAACGCCCAGACGGUUUUCCUAACAAGUCCAUUUCACGAACCCCCUCUCGAUGUAGUUGCUUCAACAGAGUAUUGUACGAUACUCCUCUUUUUCUUCUUUCUGCUUCCAAGUCAAUUUCCUCUUCAAUAUCCGUCAUACCAUCAUCUCCUUCAUCAUCGUAGGCCCCUCUAGAAGUUUGACCUUCUUCAUAUUCUAGCACGCAUGCUUCUUCUUCAUUAUCCUCCCCUUCUUCUACUUCUUUCUCUUUAUUCUUGAACUCAUUGGCUAGCAAAUAGUUAUUAGCCAUGACAUGAGGUAAUGUACCGAACUGAAUAGUAAGGGACUGAUCUGGAUCUUCUCCAUCUCUUAUGUCUCUCUCAAACUUCGACCUCCCAGAAGAACUUUCUGGCAAUUCUUUCAUCGAUUCGCCUGUACCAGUGUCCUCACUGUCUUCGAGAAUAUUUUGAUUGGCCACCUCGAGUAGCUUAGGCGCCUUAGAACGUGGUACUCCCUGUUGUUGCCUCAUCAUUCGUCUAUAGUUCCGUUGAAAACGCCUUUGUUGAGUUCUAGUCAUCUCGUUGAAUGGUAUCGCUCUUCCUGCAUUAUAUUGGAACGAAUGCCAUACAUUUGGUUGGCGAGGCUGCGGCCUGAAUAUUCUCCCAUUAUUCACUAGUCUGAACUACCUUUCAAAAGACGGUCCCCUAUAGAAUGAUGUACCUCGUCCUAUACCAGCUGAGCGUUUGGGAAAAAAAUUAGGGCGACGGUGAUGCUACCAUAUCCCUGGUUUCUCUGUACUCCCACUUACUUCUUUUUUACAUCUUGCACACAAGACAUCUUCAUCCUUUUCAGGCUCUUUCCCUUUGAUACGUUCAAAGACACUAUGAUGUGGUCCAGGGUCCUCUUUCCCGUCAUCUAUAACUAACUUGAAUUUUGGCAACUUGUUUUUGAAACCAAUCGUCACCAUGUUCACCCCAAGUGGCUGUGGAAAAGGGUUUUCAUCCACUGCCAUCUUUCUCUUAUCCUCGAACGUAAUUCUUCCUGAUUCAAUGACAUCCUGUAACACAUGGCGAAAAACAAAACAGUUAUUAGUCAAAUGUGACCAUGCAUUAUGCCACUUACAAUAUUUUUUACCCUUAACUUGUUCAGGGCUUAGCAAUUUAUGUUUAUCGCUCAGUUUUAUCUGCUUAUCCUUAUCUAGUUUAUCAAAUAUAAGGUCAGCUAUGGUUACAUCGAACGAGAACGUUCUAGCCUUUUUGUUUUCAUCUUUUAUAGGCUCAUCUUUGCCCAACGGUCUAGGUUUAGCCAUUAUAGGACAAGUAUACGUGUCUUCUUUGAUUAAUUCGGCCAAACACAUUUCGGUUUGAUAGUAAUACUCGUCAUUAAUGGUAUGAAUAUCAAAAUUUGGGUCUCUAUAAUAAGUCCCCUUACUAGAAUUUUUCAUUUGCUCUUCUUCUCUUAUUAAUCGUUCAUACCUAAUCACGUUCGCGCUCAAUUGGAAAGAUCGGGAAAUUCUUUGUCUUGAAAUUUCUUUUUCAAAUUAAAGGUUAGACAACCUUGAGCGAUUUUGACAAACUUCUUUUCGGGCAAAGAUACAAAAUAUUUACUUCUUGCUAUCUUGAACCUUUGAAGGAAACCUUCUGCCCAUUCGUUUGGCAUUUGACGUAGAUUCGUCAAAUCGGUCAAAGUAAUUUCGGACUCGGUCUUAUAAAACUGAGCGUGGAACAAUUGCUCCAAUUGUUGCCAUGUUUGAAUAGAGUUCGCUUACAAAUUGAUGAACUAGGAAAAAGCUACUCCUGUUAAUGAAUUAGGGAACAACCUUAUUUUAUGGUAAUCAGUUACGUCACCACUUUGUAGUGUGAAUCGCCCUAUGUGUUCUAGAGUAGACACCUCUCCUAAACCGGUAAAUAGUGAGAAUUCUGGCACUUUAGACCCUCUAGGCCAUGGAUAAGCCUGGUCUACCCAAUCAGGAUAUGACUUUGUGUAAGUCGGCCUAAUGACAGGACGUACCCCAAAAGCCAUCUGAUCCUAUACUGUUUCCAUAAUUUGAUUCCUCAAUAUAACAUUGGGGUCAUAUGGAAUUCCUAUAGGUUGGUUGACUGGUUGAUUUGCUUGAGGCCUGAUAUUUGGUCCUUGGUUGGCAACAAAGUUGCUAUGAUUUGGGUCAUUGUUACCAUUAGCCUGAAUAUUUAUUCCAUCAUUAACACGUGGGGCAUUCUGUCCAUUAUUUAGGACAUUGUCUCUUACAUUUAGGUUACCCCCCAAGUUAGAUGUACCAUUGCCACUAUUUUGAUUUGGCAUUACACCAUCCCCUUGGUUUGAAGUAGAGAGACUAAAAGGUGGUUCUACCCCUUGAUUUGGACCUAGGAUUGGGGGAUUAUGUCCCACAAUUGUCCUAGCUUGGAAGUAAUUUGCAAGAAGCACAACUGGCUGACAAAUUUGGCCUACUAACUUAUUCAUUAUUUCAUUCAAAGUAUUCAGUUGUUUGGCCAUGUUAUCAUAAUGUGCAUUCCCAUUCUGGGUAAAUCUUUCCAUAUUAUGAAUAUUUCGUAGAUUUACCUAUUCAACGACAUCCUGUGUGAGUUCUCCAAGUAAUGCACGCAUAGUUCGAGAACUCAACUCUGUUAUUGGUUCGUAACGACUAUGACUGCUCUGAUUAUGUCCAUCUGUUCAUGGAGAGCUAUGCUACUUCUCAUAUCGCUCGAUCACAUACUGGACUUCUCCCUGACUUGCUUCCUUAUCAGAUUUCUGAGGCAUAUUGUUUCACCCUUUGUAUUUUCAACACCAAACACCAAGGUCCCAUUGGGCGUGCCAAAUUAUUUCGCGCGGGUAGUCGCUAACAAUUAAAAAGGGAUCAGACGAUUAUGUAAGGAACAAACCUCUUAAAAUAAAAUCCCAAAAAGGGGUGUUUUAUUGGCGAUGACUUUACAAUUGGAACUAAACAGAAUGCAUCCAAGGGGCGCAAGCACAUGAGUACUGAAAAGAAAUGUUUAAGUCUAAACUAAAAAAUUAAAAUUACAUAUUCUCUAUUUGAGAGUGUUUGAUUCAAGGUUCUUUGUUCUAUGUCUUCUCUUCCUUUUAUAUUCUCUUGAUGAUUUCUUUGUGAUCAACCGUUUAGAAACUGUUUGAUUGUUUUAUAACUACCCACUUCCUUUAUGGUGGCUAUCGUGUCGUGGAACUGUCGUCUCUAACUACUGCCACUACUCUUUGUCGUUCAACUGAACUCCUUGAAUCAUGGAACGUGAUAAGGUUACUUGAUAACUGAUUCAAUAACUGCACUUCUGGAUAAUCAUAAUAUCUAAUGUUUGCUAAGAUCCCGGGCAAUUUGAAGGUUUGGGCGAGAACAGUGCCAUAGCUCUGGCGACUGUAAGGCACUUCAUUUGCUCAGAUCUUGGGCAUCUUGUAAGUUUGGGCAAUGAUGUUACCAUAUUCGUGGACUUCCACUGCAUUCAUUAGUAAUCUUAUUUGGGCCUUUAUCCUAAAUUUCCCAGUUGGACUUCAUUCUUUGGGCUAUUUGAUUUGGGGAUUCCCUAAUUGGGUUUUAUUCCUUGGACUAUUCGAUUUGAACUGUACUUUUAGUGUGUCAACACUACUUAUUCUUCAAAAAAAAUUAUUAUGCUCAUUUUUAAUUUGAAAAAAAUGGAAGCCAAACGGGACUAAGUUAAAGCGGGAAAAGUAGAACAAAAUUGAAUAAAACUAGUCAAAUGGGCUAAACGACAUAGGUUCUUUACAAGGGAUGUGUUGGCCAUUUUUGAUUGGCAACCUUCUGUUUCACCCUUUUUUUAACUACAAAUGAAAGUUCGCCUAGUGUAUGUAUAAAAAAGCCUGUCAAUGAGCCCGUUCCUAUAACAAUGUUGAACAAAAUUUAUUUAUGAAUUGAAAUUAUAAAUGUUUUGUGAGAUACUCAUAAUUACAAUUUGUUAGGUGGCACCAGCAGAGCUUGAAGAGCUUCUUCUUACUCACUCUGAAAUAACAGAUGCUGCUGUUAUCCCGUAAGUAGGCAGACUCGUGCUUUAGCUAAGCCUAAAAAUUUACUAUACUGUGAAAGUAAUCUAUAAAAAUAAGCAAUUUUUUUUUUUUUUUACUUACAAAUUCCGAAUAAUUGCCCUUUCGUAGAUUCCAGGACGCCGAAGCUGCUGAAGUCCCUAUUGCAUAUGUUGUCCGGUCAUCCAACAGCUCACUGUCUCAAAAACAGGUUAAAAGAUUUAUAGCAGAGCAGGUAAUUAAUUAAUUUAAUUCUGUAUAUUUUCUUAUUUAUUUGAUUUUUGGCAAAUGUAUAAUUUUCCCAAUACUUAUCACAGGUUGCCCCAUUCAAGAGAUUGCAAAGAGUGAUUUUUAUUGACAACAUUCCAAAAUCAGCCUCUGGAAAGAUUCUGAGAAGGGAGUUGAGACACAAAAAUCUAUCGAAACUGUAACUGCGAUUGCUUCAUUAGAGAAAAUUAAAAUAAACCAAAUCACGCAAGCCCUAGUAGUUUAGGAGUAAGUCUGAAUACGAAGAAGAGGAAAUGAAAAGAACAAAACGAAAUUGUACUUUGUGUUGAACAUAAUUUUGAGUAGUUCAAAACAAUUCGGUAUGUUUAAAAUAUAGUUAUUUUGCUCCAAUAAGAUGGUUGCUGAUGUUGAUUAUACAUACAAAAGGUCUAGAAUUAUCCAAAUAUCAUCAAUCCUUGUUGAGACUUCGACAAUCUCAACUCUCUUCAUAAAAGAGUCUAAGCUGCCAUCCCAUUCACGUGUAUUUGAUAGGAAUAAUUGAAUAGUAUUAGAUUGUGUCAAAGAAGAACAAAGUUAAAAUUCUAUUCACAUAAUGUUGUAAUUAGAUUGUAUCAAAAAAGAUUUAUAGAAAGUGACAUGAUAUGGUGUUUUUUUUUUUUUUUUUUUUUUUUUUUUAAAAUUUAAAGGUUUUUUUUUUUUUUUUUUUUUUUGUCGUUUUAAUCAUAUGAAACAAUCAUGUAGGAGGAUAGAAUAUGGAGCUCCAGCCCCUACCAGUCUUGUUAGCAGACUUAUAUUGGCAAAGACGCAUGACAUUCUUUCUAUUGUUCACAAGUACAGAGGUGGACAGAAUUUUUUUUUUGAUUAAAAUAUCACAGGCCAUCGGGCCAUGUAAUUUGGCCUUUAUAAAUAAUUUUUGUUUUAUCUAAACUUACAGUAUGCUUAUAGAAACAUUUUAAACUAAUAUUCAACUGGUACUUAGUUUCUAUUUCACACACUGAAAUUUGGAUUUUUUUUAUUUUUAUUUUUUAAACAAUACCUAUAUUAACAUCACGAUUUUAAAAGUUCAAUUAAGUUCAUUAAUUAGAAAGUCAUAUAAUGUGCCCUUUUUCAUAAAAAGUCACUGUUGCUGUGCUUAGAGCAAAUUAGUCAUCGUUGAUUUUUGAGCGAUCUAGUUUUUGGUCAUUAUGGCUACAAUGGUUUGUUGUCGCUGCACUUAUUCACCUUCGACUAGAUCUAAUUUUGCGAUCUAUAGUUGUUUAGUUUGUCGUUGAUGAUGGUGGUGGGCUUAAGCGCCGUUGCUAGUGGUGGAAAAUGAUGGGAAAUAUUGGAGUAAUCGAUGUCGAAAUUUUUGGGGUAUUUGGUGGUGGUUCGCAAAUGACGAUGGUGAUGCAGGCGAGGUGGCGUUGGUGAUGUCGACUAUGGUUGUGGUAGUUACUGACUGAUUAUUUUGGAUAUGAUUUUUUUGUGGAGUUCACGUGGUGAUGGUUGUGAUUUCGACUGUGAUGGUGAAGUGGUGAUGAUUUUGGCGAUGGUGGGGGUGGUCAACAUGACUAAGGUGUGGUGGUCAUGGGUGGAAUGGGGAUGUUUGUGAUCAAUUAUUUGAUUAAUUGUAACCAGUAAAUAAUAUGUGACAUUAUGAACAAUAGAUAAUAUAUGACCCAAAAAUUUGAUUCGUGACUUACAAAAUUUGUGAUUUGUGACCAAUAAAUAAAUUGUGAACCUAUAAACUUUUUGAUUUGUGACCAAUGAAAUAAUUGUCCUAUAAAAUUUUUGAUUCAUUGUCAAGAAAUAAUUUGUGACCAAUUAAUUCAAUGAUUUGUGAUCAAAUUUUAUAAAAUUGUUAUCUUAAUAUAUUAAAUUAAUAAAAUAUAUUUUGUAAAUAAAAUUUAAUUAAUAUCUGAUUUUUGAAAUUUUGAACCUAGUUUCUUAAUCUUGAAAUUGAUCAUACUUAAUCUCAUAGAUAUGAAUUUUUCCUCAACAAAAUUUCGGAACAAUACAUAAUUAAGGUAUUAACUAUACACAAUUUCAAUUUUAAGAAGCUACAUCUAAACUUUCAAAAAUCAAGUCAUAAUUAUGAUUUUAUUAAUUAAAAAUAUAUUUUUUAAAUUUAAUAUAUUCUGGUCACAACAUCACAUAUUUUUUGAUCACAAUUGCUCGAUUAUAAGUCACAACUUAUUCGUCGAUCACAAAUUUUCAAAUUAAUUGGUCACAAUUUAUUUUGUGAUCAUAAAUUAUAUAAUUUUUAGGUCACAAUUAAAUGGUUAACACAUUAUUUUCCGAUCACAAAUCACGAAUUUUAUAAGUCACAACUUAUUCAUCUAUCACAAAUUUUAAUUUUCUGAUCACAAAUUAAAAUAAUUUUUAGGCCACAAUUAAAUUGUUGGUCACAACUAACCAAAUACCAAGUCACAAAUUAAUCUCAUCCCACGCCCCCAUCACUGUCACCACACUAACACCAAAACUGCCGAGAUCCCUCGCCACAGCCACCAAUACAACACUCAAACAAGUCACCGCCACCGCACAAAAACCAGAUUCGCCACCACAGCCACCACCGCAACACAUCAAACAAAUCAUUGCCAACACACAAGCAUCAGAUCCGUCAAGAUCCACCACACAAAAAUCAUCUCCACCACCUUCCCAGAUUGACGACCACCUCAUCAUGGAAACACCACCACAUCACAGAAAUAUACCACCAUAUCUCAAAACCAACAAAUCCGUCGAGAUCUACCUCACCAGGAAGAGACCGCCAUCGGUAGAGAGUGACAGAUCCAUAGCCAUCUCCACAACCCCUGACUACAUCAACUGGCGGAGAUCCACAGCCCCUGACUACAUCAACACCCCCCGCAAACAGAACACGCCAACAUCCCCACAGAUUCACUACAUCCCUGCGUGCGACGGCGAGGCGAUCUAAGAACAAAGUCAGGUUUUUGCAGCGACGACGGCAGCGACACCUGAGCAGAGAGACGGUGGUGAAGAGAGAGGAGUGGGCGGCGGACGGUGGUGUGGAGAGGAGCGGAGAUGAGAGAGAGAUCAAUUUAGAGCUUGAAUGGAUAGAUAGGGUGGGGUGGUGGGGUGUAUGUAUAUUAGAUUAAUUUAUAGUAUUAUUAUUAAAAAUAUUCAUUUAUGAUAUUUAAAUUAAGAUCUGAAUUUUGUAUAGAGAAACUUUUGCUCUUAUUUUUCAAAUUGAAUAUUUAAAAGUAAGAUAGUGUGUAAUUUUCUCAUAAAAUUUCUAUUUUGGGCCAACUCUUUUAAUGUUAGGCCCGGCAUAAUUUAAGGUUGGGUUUGAUUGGUCUGGCUGUGAAUGUGAAUGACUUGGGCUUAACAAGUCUCAGCCUCCUUAGAAACAAGGGAAAAUUUUUAUGAUAACAAAUGUUUGAAAAAAUAAUUUCAAAAAAAAUAAACUUAUAAAAUUUUUUGAAAAAUCAAGUAAUCAUAUUUUGUGAUAUUUGAUAAAAUAUUGUGACAUAUAAUUAAACAGGUCACGGUGAUAAUAACACAAAAUUUAAGGUCAUGUUCACAUAUUAGUCACAAAUUACACAAUGUUAGGUUAUAAUCACAAAAAUACAUUUUAUGGGUCACAACCACGUAUUUUAUUUGAAAAUCACACAUUUAAUAACUCGCAAAAUUACUCAAUUGAUCAUAAACACUAUUCACCCCACCCCACCCCACGCCACCACACCACACUCCUGAGUCCACCACUAUAAAACUACCUUAAGGCUUAAACGCACCACCAUCACCACCAAAACUCACCUCAAAUCCACCACCUCCAUCUCAAAAUCACCACCACCACCACCAUCACUAUCGCAAAUUCUUUGUCAUAAAUCUACAGCCAUCACACAACACAUUCAAAUGUCUUUAUUGCGAAUUAGUCUUUGACUUUUCCUGGCAUAUUCAUAGUCAAAACAGUAAAAUCUUAGUGAGUUAUAGCUAGUCAUUGUACUCAAGGAAAAUGUCGAGUGUGUUAUAACAAUUCUUGUAAAAUUUCAAGCAAUAAAAUUCAGAUUUCUCAGUUAUCUAGCUUCUAUACCCAACAAGAGAUACGGUAAUAGUUUGACAGAGUACAAUAGCUUAAACUCACAAGUAAUAUUUCUAAAUAUAAGAUCACAUAUUUUUUAAUAUUCAUAUGAAGGUAACAGAACUUAGAAAGCUCAAGAAGUUUACUUUCUAGGCAUUCUGUACAAUUUAAAAAGCUGCAUAAGAGAAAACAAUUGUUACUGGCCAUAGCAACGGAUUAUUUAUCAACUACAAAUUGUAAAUCUAGGGAAGAUUGAUAAAAAAGUUUAAUAUUCCCAAAUCUGAGUACAAGUUGGGAAUGAUCCUGUGAAUGCACAAUUUUUACUGGCUCAUGUUUCGUGUUAAUUUCAAGGUGUCGUAAAUGUGAUUAAGAAUGGUUCCAAGAAUAAAAUAAUAACCAAACCAACCAACGCAACGUUGAAAGGAGAAAUGUUUAAAAGGGAGAAACGAGAUCUAUACAAUAAUUUAAAAGGUAAGCAAUUUAUAAUCAUAUGGCAGAGUAUGACACUUGUGCACUGCAUACUAUGAAAAACAACUUAUCAAAUCUUCUUGGUUAUGUUGCCAUCCAAAUUGGCUUUCGUCGAACCAUUUACGGGCCCUCUAAUGCUAGAUGCUCAAUAAGUGAAUGAUCUCUACUGCUAGAUAAAUUUCUUGGGAAGCAACUUGAUUCUACAUCUCAAACUAUAUUAAUUUAUACCCAGUCACGGAUAUCACAUAGAGAAACUCCUACAUCACUACUAAUUAGAAAUGGAAUAUUUAGCAUUUACUAAAUGUACUUAAAAUUUUUUAUUGUUCACUUGUUGAAGUUCAAAUUAUUAGUCUUAACUGAAAUAGAGAAUGUCAAAUAGAGAAUGCAAAAUUUCAAGUAGAAUUCAUGACAAAUAAUGUUACGCCCCCCUAACUGAACCACUUCGAAAAGUCCACCACCACAUCAGGCGAGGUGUGGAAUGCUCAUCCGAAGUGGUUCCCCUAACUGGUUCCGAUGUGACUUCACCAAUGGAGAUGACCUGCUAUCACCCGACGAGGCAUAGGUAAUUCUGCAGGACUGAUCGAAGCGCCCUUGCCCCCUGAAUCCGAGGCGAAAUGAACCCCGUGGACCUCGGCCUGAGGAUCCGCCGUCGAUUUCAGAAUGAGAUCUUUGUCAAGAUCUUUUCUGCCCCUAAGGUUUAAAGUGAUUUGACGUCUUCAUGAGACUAGUUGAUGUGACCUAUCAACUUUAUGUCAACUCAACUCGGGAAAAGUAACUACCCGCCCACUCUACAGACGCGGCUGAUUGAUACCUAUGAGCAGACGCCUCAUACCGUUCAGAUGUAUACAUGUGUCUUACAUCCAACGGCUCUCCUCACCUAUAAAUACCCAAGGUUUGGCAAGAGGCAAAGGUAAUGAAACUCUUCCUAUUUAGUACUCCAUAACAAGCAAAUAUAUAUUCUCCUCCCCACUAUUUUGCACAACCUUGGUACUAUUUCGAUCACUUGAGCCUAACUUGACUGUCGGAGUGUAUACAGCCGUCGUCACCCACGCUGGUCCCGACCGUAUGCAUCUGACCGUGCGUUGAUUGUGCGCAGGGAGGAAUACGUGGAGUGGCUAUCGGUUGGCCACGUGGAGGGUCCAAUUUUCGAGGUCAAUAGAUUGACGCCGUCUGUGGGAAACUUCCCGUUCAAAGUUCUACAUUCUCCACCGGAUAAAACACCGAAAAACUAGCAACUUACCCUGAAAAGGGCACGUUCUUGAAAAAAGAACAAAGUCGAGUUAUAUCCUAAAUUCUUAUUACCCUUGAAAAAGGAGAUAAAAUGAGUUCCAGUCAUGAAGACGACAAUCUCAUGAGAGAGGCCUCUGAAGAAGAGGUUCUCCAUAACAAUAUCACUCACCAGAGACCCCAUCACCGGCGUCGCCGAGGGGCAAGAAUAGCCAUGCUCACUGAAGGGAUGGCUCAAAUAGCGGCGGGCAUGAGAGACAUCGCAACUCAGAAUAUGGCGAUGCACGAACUUCUCAUGCAAGCCUAAGGUCAUCAGGGCUAUCAAAUGUCCCAAGGAUCUUACCUAGUGCAGGAAGCCCCUGAAUCUCGUUCCCGAGGCCAUAUGAGCUGGCACAGAGAACGCCCCCUCAAAAGAGAAGUGGGCGUGGAAGCCACAUCCUAUGUACAGGGACGCCAGCUAGCGGAACCAUAGCUAGGGGACAAUUUCCCUCAAGAAUAUGAGGAACAAAGGUCAGUAAGCGUCUUCGACCGAAUAGGACAGGACCCUAGUAAUAGGGCCCACUCAGUGCAAAGAUCAGUUCAAAAAGACCAGGAACAAGAACAGGCGCCUCCUCCUAGAAGUAGGAGGGAUAGGAGGAACCUAGUCGAUUGGGAAAGCCGAGGAGAAGCACAUCCACCUCCCCAGGAUAUUCAAGACGAUGAAGGGUCAGAUGGGCCCUGUCGAUCUUAUGAGAUCGAUGACGAUGAUGAUAACGUCCCUUUCUUAAGAUCCCCAAGUAUGAAGGAAAGGGGGACCCGGAGAAGCACCUCACCAAGUACAUAACACAGAUGAGCCUCAGGAGAGCCUCGCCUGCUUUGAAAUGCAGAGCGUUCCACUUAACCCUGGGCGGAGCUGCUGAAGUGUGGUAUAGCAGACUUCCUCUCCCGAGCAUUAGGAGUUGGCCAGAUUUGAAGAAGGCAUUCUUAAACUAAUACCUCUCACGCAGGGAAGGAGAGGCCCCUGUGCAACGCUUGCAGGAUAUGAGGCAGGCCCCUGGAGAGACGCUGAAAAGCUAUCUCGCUAGGUUUAUAAACGAAAUCACAUACUGCAAACAUGUUACUGACAGGGAAGCCCUUUUAGUUCUGAAAGGCGGCCUCAACAUGAACACUUUGUUUGGGAGAGACGUGCACAUCAAGAAUCCUGCCACCUAUGAUGAACUGGUGGAAAUGAUGAGAGUGGAAAUCACCAAGCCUUUCAGAUACUUAGAAAAUAUAAGAUGAAGUUGAAUCCCCUCAAGUGCACCUUUGGGGUGGCUUCGGGUCAGUUCUUGGGGUAUAUUGUUAACCAAAGAGGAAUUGAAGCCAAUCCAGUAAAGAUAACGGCCUUGCUGGAAAUGAGAUAACCUCAGAAAUCGAAAGAGGUCCAAAGCCUCAAUGGUUAAAUAGCCGCACUCAGUCGCUUCAUCUCCAGGGCCACUGAUAAGAGCUUACCCUUGUUCAAGGUGCUUAAGUAAGGAAAGAAGUUCCAAUGGACUUUUGAGUGUGAAGAAUCCUUCCAGGCGCUGAAAAAGCACCUUGGAUAAGUGCCCCUUUUGUCAAAACCUCAACCAGAGGAGUCUCUGCUGCUGUAUUUGGCAGUAUUGGACAUGGCGGUCAGCGCUGUUCUAGUCAGAAAGGAAAAUGAACGACAGUUGCCAAUAUACUACGUCAGCAAAGCACUCCUCCCAGCUGAAACACGGUGCUCAGACAUGGAGAAAUUGGCACUUGCCCCCAUCACGGCCUCAAGGAAACUGAGGUCAUACUUCCAGGCCCACUCGAUUGACGUUCUUACCAACUUCCCAUUGAAGCAGGUGCUGCAGAGAACAGAAGGAUCAGGACGCCUACUAAAAUGGGCAAUCGAGCUCAGCGAGUUCGACAUAUUGUUCUGACCUCGACAUGCCAUCAAGGGCCAGGCCCUUGCAGAUUUUGUGAUUGAGUUUGCCAAAGCCCCGAAAAUGGAGGCAAUAAUGGAACCAGCCGAACCCCCAACCUGAAAACUGUUCGUAGAUGGAUCUUUAGGAGAGGUAGGCUCCAGGAUAGGAAUAGUCUUGGAAAGCCCAGAGGAUCACAAGCUAAAUUGUGCAGUAAGGUUCGUCUUCAAAGCCUCGAACAACGCUGCUGAGUACGAGGCCCUUCUAGCGGGCCUUAGACUGGCAAGAAAAAUGCAGGUCAGAAGGCUUGUGGCCAGCAGCGAUUCUCAGCUGAUAGUAAAUCAGGUCAGUGGAAGCUUUACGGCCAAAGACAGCGGCAUGGUCACAUACUUGAAAUUAGUUCUGGACCUAGUCCCCCAGUUUGAAAGGUUCGAACUGAUUCAAGUCCUACGCCUAGAGAAUACACAUGUAGACACCUUCUCAAAAUUGGCCAGCAGCAAGGAUUCUGAGUUAUUAAAAGUUGUCCCUAUUGAACACUUGGUGAAGCCCUCCAUUUCCAGAGGAGAAGAGGUACUUUGGAUAGAAGGCACCCCAUUAUGGAUGAAGCCCAUCAUCGCCUAUCUAAAGGAUCAGACACAAGGCAAGGAAGUGGAGGAGAAGGGUUGCGCACUUCGUCCUGAAAGAGGAUAUGCUCUACCAAAGAGGCUUUGCCUCACCACUUCUCAGAUGUGUGGUAGGCGAAAAGGCCACAUAUAUACUUAGGGAUAUCCAUGAGGGAAUCUAAGGAAAUUACUCUAGAGGAGCGGCCCUGGCAUACAAGGUUCUCCGUCAAGGCUACUUCUGGCCAACCCUGAAAAGGGAUGCUUGCCAGUUUGUCCAGAAAUGUGACAAGUGUCAGCGCUUCUCGAAUAUUCAAAGGUAGCCUUCUUAGAACCUCUCUGUGGUAACCAGCCCCUGGUCAUUCGUCAAGUGGGACAUCGACUUCAUUGGUCCACUCCCUAAAGGAAGAAGAAGCGCGACCUUCGCCAUUGUCGCUAUUAACUACUUCACCAAGUAGGUCGAGACUGAACCUCUUUCGAAGAUUACCGAGGCAAAUACUACAAAAUUCGUCUGGAAGAAUAUUAUUUGCAAAUUCGAUAUUCCCCACUCCUUAGUGUCUGACAAUGGAAGACAGUUCGACAACAGGAAAAUGCGAGAAUUGUGCGUCGAACUGGGGAUAAAAAAAGAUUUCUCAACGCCUCAUCACCCGCAAGCAAAUUGACAAGUUGAGGCAGUAAACAAAACCAUCAAGCAUACCCUGAAAAGGAAGCUUGACACAUCAAAGGGGGCUUGGGUCGAUGAACUUCCCCAUGUCCUCUGGGCAAUCCGAACCACAGCCGAACUGCAACUGGGAAAACACCAUUCUCAAUGAUCUACGAGGCCGAGGCCAUGAGUCCGGUCGAGGUUGAGGUCCCAUCACACCGUCGAAUACACUACAAUGAGAUCAGUAAUGAUGAGGCCCGAGUGAACGAAAUCCACCUCCUUGAAGAAAGGAGGGAUACCUCCCAGGUGAAUUUGGCAAAGUAUCAUAGGAAGAUGACCCGUUAUUAUAACUCCAAGGUCAAAAAUCGAACUCUUCGCUUGGGAGACCUCGUCCUCAGGAGGGUCUUCCAAUCAUCAAAGCCAAUCAGGUCAGGAGUGUUUGGACCGAACUGGGAAGGUCCUCACCGCAUCCGUGGGAAAUCCCGACCUGGCACUUUCGAAAUUGAAGACAUGACAGGGAAAGCACUACCUCAUCAAUGGAACAUCGAACACUUAAGGAAAUAUUAUCAGUGAUGAGUUUUUGUUUGGAUCCAAUCUCAAUGUUGUCUGAUAAGUAUGUCUCCCGAUCCGAUCUCAUUUGUAAUUUUCCUAUCUUACUGAGCACUGAAAAUGCCUUGGUAAUGGAUAAUGUAACUUUUUUAAGUGUUGAUACUUUAGUUCUUUGUCACAUUGGUUAUCAAAUUGUUACCUCAGUCCCUCAGUAUGAUUACUUAAGUGGUCCGAUCUUCUGAUUGUUGUCAAGAGGCUCCCGAUUAUUACUUAAGUGAUCCGAUCUUCUGAUUAUUGUUAAGAGACGCUUAAUGAUUACUUAAGUGGUCCGAUCUUCUGAUUGUUGUUAAGAGGCGCUUAGUCUUAAAAGUUUGUCAUUCAUAUAUGCGUAAACAGAUCAAUGCGAUAAGAAAGUAGAAGCAAUAGCACUUGGCAAAAAAAAUUUCAUUUCAUUCACUUCAAAUUUAUAGGAGGCCAAAGCAAUUACAAAAUAAGCCCUACUCUAUGGGAGGCUCCUCCCCACCAGCCUCUGCCUCGCCAGCCUCGGGAGCUGUUGGAGUGUUCUCUGCAAGCCUAUCAGGCUGGCCUCCAGUAGGUCCCCCGAACUCUGCCUCUAAAGAGGAAAUGUUCAAAGUAGGGUGGACCUCUUUCAGCCGAUCCAAUAUACCUUGGGCACUCUAGGAGGCCCAGAAAUUUGCAAAGUCAUCGUACAAGGGAUGUUCCUCGAAGUGGUCAAUGAAAUUUUGAACAAACAUUUCCCCUGUCGACUUCAGUUCCUCCUUCAAGGAGGCCAUUUCCUCAGAGUAGGUCUCUAUCUUCUACCUCAGCUCAGCUUUCUCUUUAUUGGAGGCCUCCAGAGCCUCUAUGGCUAGCCGGUGGUGCUCGUUGGCAUGAUCCACUCUUUAGGUCAUGGCAGCUACCUGACACUCCACUUCAUAGAGUUCCUUCUUCAGCCGCUCUAUAUCUCCUGCAGCAGCCGCUAGCUGGGCCUCAGCCUCCGUCCUCCUUUUCUCUUCCUCUGCAGCAUUGGCCCGGGCCUCCCUCACCUUGUCCCCAUAUUGCAUCGCUUCCUUGAGGCGCUUGGCAAGGUCCUCCCUCUUGGCGUUGAGGUCCUUCACCAAGCCCUCAAACUGGAUGCUGGUGCUUAGAGCCCGGGCCACACAAGCACUAUUGGCUGUGCAAAAGGUGGUGUGGUCCCUCCAUUCUUCAGUCCAAUACUUAUUUUGGACCACCGCCACUGCAGCCAUUUCUGGGGGGAGAGCCUCCAGUACUUCUUUAACUGGCUCCUUGGAGUUCAAGCCCAAGAAGUCCACCUCCUUUGAGGGACGGGCUCUUUUCUUCUUAGGCAGCCCUGGCACCUGGGCGAGAGGGACGGCAGCAACUGGCGCCUUGGCCGGGGCAGGGGAAGCCUCUGAUGGAGCGGACGUUCUCUUCGAAAUGGCCACCCCGAUAGGAAUUGUGGUUUGCCUCAGAAUGGGGGGUGGCCUCGCCACUGUUGGCCGCUUCGAAGGUUUCUUGCCCUUCCGAAGCAGAUUCACCUUUGGAUCCUUAGGCACCUCCUCCUUUGUCGGAGGCGGGAGCCUCUUGCUGGCAUCCACUAAGUCCUCCAUCCACUUCUUGUAAGAGGAGGAGGAGGUCUUCAAGGCCCUCACCUUGGCCAUCAUCUUCUGUAUUGUUUUCAAGUCAGGUCGGAGAGGCAUCUUCUUAUUGAAGUUAUCUGCAAGAAAUAAGUAAAUUAGUACAAGUGUAAAUGACUCAAAAAUAUUCAAAGGUAUUCGCUUCGAGACAUUACCUUGUGAGGCCAUCGUGUGUCAUAAAAUGGAGGAUCUUUCUCAUCGAUCGAUGGAACGACCUCUUCUUCGAAGGCAGUUGAUAGAUCACGCAGAUGAUUUCGAAAUCGUCGGAGGACAGCUCACACCGAGGAAGAGUGCCUUCAAAAAAUGAAUACGAUUGUUAAUUAUAAUUUGAACUGAAGAGAAACAAAAAAGAAAUACAGCUACAAUACUCACUAAGUGUCGAGUACUUCGUGAGGACCGUAAGAGGUGCCAGAGGGUCCCCCUCUAUCGUGUCCUAUCUCCCAGCAGCCCAGCACCAUGAGCCCUUCCACUCUUUGAUGGAGCUCGGUAGAUUGAGUACGAAUGGAGUGUGGGAAUCCCAAGAGGUCAGGUAAUACCAGCCCCUGGUCUUAUCCCCCGGCUGUUACUUUUGGAAUAUAGAGGGUUUGAAAAAUAGAGAAGGGCAUCUCCACUCCUAGUGACGCCUCUUUCCAUAACAUCCAGGAGCCCACCAU